This is a long non-coding RNA of Globicephala melas (long-finned pilot whale), 1347 nucleotides long. RefSeq lists it as uncharacterized. The record is from RefSeq and is a predicted model, not a curated record. Lineage: Eukaryota; Metazoa; Chordata; Mammalia; Artiodactyla; Delphinidae.
UCCGGGCGCGCCUCUGCCUGAUGGAGGCCCGAGUCUAAUCUGAGGAGAGAGUCUAAGCUUGCGGCCCAAGGCUGGAGUUCCCCACAUAGGAGGGGCUGUGACGCGAGCAACACCCGGCCCAGCACCGCCAGGCUGGGGACACUCCACUCCUUCAUCAAUUUAUUCCAAAAUAUUCUGAGCCGCUCCUAUGCUCCAGGCAGCGUCAUAAGCGGGACAAAAGAGAGAACGAGAUCGUCUCGUGCCCUUGCGGAAUUCACGGUCUAAAAAGGGAAACAACUAAUGGACAACUACACCGCAGAACCAAGAGGGAGCGGUCAUAGAGGGGGCCCUGAUCCAGACUUGGGGAAGUCAGGGAAGGCUUCUGGAGGAGGUGGUGGCUAAAAGAACUGAAGGAUGUGCAUGAAUUAUCCGGUUGGAGUGACCUGGGGAGGUAGAUUGUCCCAGGUGGAGCCGAAGGGGAGAGGGAGCCGACUGCCGGAAAACUGAAGGGUCUAAGGAACCGAAAGAACUUGGUAUGUCCAGUGAAUCCUUGCCACACUUCACGUUCAGACCCCUGGAAAGAUGCAGAAAGAUUGUGUCUGAGGCUGGAUGUAUUCCACUAGGCGCAUGAUUGGUUGGUGAGGAUUUCGAAUCUCCCACGUGCUGCGCAUUCCCGCUAAUGGAUGAGCUAAGAGGAUACUCGUGGACCGUUCACUGCAAUUUACCCGAGCAUCUGUGAGCCAGGCCCUCUGCAGGACCCUUAGCAUGUGCUGUGGAAGGAGUCUGUGUCUCUAUGCAAAAGGAGCUACAAGUCUGCAGUGGGGGAGAGACCUGCACUCAGCGCUUGGAUGAGAUGCAUGGGAACACAGGUCUCAUUUACGGCUCAUGGGCUCCUCAAUUGUGACAUGCAAACCCCCAGUUGCGGCAUGAUGUGGGAUCUAGUUCCCUGACCAGGUAUCGAACCCGGGCCCCCUGCACUGCGAGCACGGAGUCCUAUCCACUGUGCCACCAGAAUCACAAUAUGUGGAAUCAAAAGAACUAGCGUUUGAGUCCUGAUUCUAUCCACGGUUUCAGCUUCCUGCCCUUGGGCUACAUCACCUUAGACUUACAAUGACAACAACGAACAUCCAAGUGACUCCCUGCAUCUACCUUCACUACCCCCAUCUGCCUGCAUAUUCUCUGAUGGAUCCACAGUCAACACUAUUUAUAAUAGCCAAGACCUGGAAUCAACCUAAAUGUUCAUUGACAGAGGAGUGGAGAAAGAAGAUGUGGUACAUAUACACAACGGAAUAUUACUCAGCCAUAAAGAAGAAUGAAAUAAUGCCAUCUGCAGCAACAUGGAUGGACCUAGAGACUGUCAUAAUGAGU